RNAcentral lists this ribosomal RNA (311 nucleotides) under uncultured bacterium. RNAcentral's name for it is "bacterial SSU rRNA". It matches the Rfam family "Bacterial small subunit ribosomal RNA", at positions 28 to 334 of the family's 1533-position model. The record is from RNAcentral.
GACGAACGCUGGCGGCGCGCCUAACACAUGCAAGUCGAACGAGCGAGAGAGAGCUUGCUUUCUCGAGCGAGUGGCGAACGGGUGAGUAACGCGUGAGGAACCUGCCUCAAAGAGUGGAAUAGCCUUCCGAAAGGAAGAUUAAUACCGCAUAAUGUUGAAAGAUGGCAUCAUCAUUUAACCAAAGGAGCAAUCCGCCAUGAGAUGGACCCGCGGCGCAUUAGCUAGUUGGUGGGGUAACGGCCUACCAAGGCGACGAUGCGUAGCCGACCUGAGAGGGUGAUCGGCCACAUUGGGACUGAGACACGGCCCAG